UACAGAGGGUGCAAGCGUUGUCCGGAAUUAUUGGGCGUAAAGCGCGUGUAGGCGGCUUUGCAAGUCGGGUGUGAAAGCCCUCAGCUCAACUGAGGAAGUGCGCCCGAAACUGCAGAGCUUGAGUGCCGGAGAGGGUGGCGGAAUUCCCCAAGUAGAGGUGAAAUUCGUAGAUAUGGGGGAGGAACACCGGUGGCGAAGGCGGCCACCUGGACGGUAACUGACGCUGAGGUGCGAAAGCGUGGGGAGCAAACAGG
Molecule: ribosomal RNA, 254 nt
Filed under: uncultured bacterium
Lineage: Bacteria
Description: partial 16S ribosomal RNA
Rfam family: Bacterial small subunit ribosomal RNA
Source: RNAcentral